CAGUAGCCACGGUAAUACGAAGGGUGCAAGCGUUAAUCGGAAUUACUGGGCGUAAAGCGUGCGUAGGCGGUUUGUUAAGUCUGUUGUGAAAUCCCCGGGCUCAACCUGGGAAUGGCAAUGGAUACUGGGUCACUAGAGUGUGGUAGAGGAUAGUGGAAUUUCCGGUGUAGCAGUGAAAUGCGUAGAGAUCGGAAGGAACAUCUGUGGCGAAGGCGACUAUCUGGGCCAACACUGACACUGAGGCACGAAAGCGUGGGGAGCAAACAGGAUUAGAUACCCCAGUAGUCCCUGUCUCUUAUAA
This 301-nucleotide ribosomal RNA is filed under the name uncultured bacterium. Its description in RNAcentral is "partial 16S ribosomal RNA". It matches the Rfam family "Bacterial small subunit ribosomal RNA", at positions 509 to 809 of the family's 1533-position model. The record is from RNAcentral.